AUAUCGAAUCAAUUAUCGAUCGAUGUGAGAGAUCGAUUUGACUCAUAUUUUAAUUUUCACAUACUUUCUAUUUUUAUGUAAAAGUAAUUAGAAUUUGUGAAACAUAAUUUAAACAUGAAUUAAUAAUAAUUAGCCGUAUUAGUGCAAAAAACGCAAAGUUCAAAACAGUAUAUAUCGUAGAGGCACUCAUCUUGACGUGUGAAGUUAGCACUAGAGAUGAUCAUCUCUGGCUCGAGCCAACUUAAUAGAGUUCUCUAUUAUAGGGGUUCACUUUCUUUCCGGCACGGAACGGGGUUCACUUUUCUUCCGGAACGGACGGGGUUCACUUUCUUUCCGGAACGGAACGGGACGCAGGACUGAUCAGCUCCCGAUCGAGUCUUCUUCGUCAAUCAUCUAAUCGAACGCAACGAAUGUGGAACGACCCGCCACCGCUAUCGUCGUGCAGAACAAGUGCUAUCGCCAAGUAUUUAAUCGAACGUGACGGAUGUGGAACGACCCGGCGCUAUAUAGAACGGCAUCGCAGAUCAUAACUGGCGCUGAUGCUAGUCAAAUAUCAGUCGCAUGAAAAAGGUGGCCGCUCUCAGGUUCCUCUCUACUUACAUCUACAAUAUUAAUUCGUUUAUUUUAACAUAUUGACAACAACCAUUAUAAUAAAAAGCAAAUAUUAUUAAAUGUUUGUUGCUUAUUAUUUGUUGCUUAAUAACAUUUUUUAACAAAAGCUAAAAAUAAAACUUUGAAAACAUGUCAAUUACUGAAAACUGUCUUCAGAUAGUAAAGCAAUUUUUAUAAUAAUAUUUUAUAUUUUGUAAUAAUUAUUGUUUUUGCAAUAUAACCAAAAACGAGUGUUUGAAAAAUUGGACAUGAAAAUUGGUAUAGUAUAGCAAUAGUGGUAAAAUUCAGGCAUAAUCCGUAAUAGAAGAAUUAAUUGUAAAAUAAAUUUUUAAAUUAAGACAUUUUUGUAGUAAGAUACAUUUUUAAGUAUUAAAUAACAAAGUUUGUAAAAUAAAGAAAAUUAA
Monomorium pharaonis (pharaoh ant) is the source of this 1016-nucleotide long non-coding RNA. RefSeq lists it as uncharacterized. The record is from RefSeq and is a predicted model, not a curated record. The transcript is spliced from 4 exons. NCBI's taxonomy places the organism in Eukaryota, Metazoa, Arthropoda, Insecta, Hymenoptera, Formicidae.